Molecule: ribosomal RNA, 258 nt
Filed under: uncultured Stemonitis sp.
Lineage: Eukaryota; Evosea; Eumycetozoa; Stemonitida
Description: partial 18S ribosomal RNA
Rfam family: Eukaryotic small subunit ribosomal RNA
Source: RNAcentral
AUGCUUUUCCUAAAGAUUAAGCCAUGCAUGCCUAAGACUAUGAGGAAGCAAUUCUCUCUGAAUCUGCGAACGGCUCCGCAAACCAGUUGUAAACCAUAGCAGUGUUCCGCCCGGCUUCAGCAAUGGGGUCGGGCAUUAUAUGGAUAACCGUGGUAAUUCUGAGGCUAAUACAUGACACACCAACUCGGCGGGCUGGGGGACAACCGGCUUGCUGGGGACGUGCGAUCAGCAAUGCUAUAACGAACAUCGGGAUGAGCG